AUACGGAGGAUGCGAGCGUUAUCCGGAUUUAUUGGGUUUAAAGGGUGCGUAGGCGGACGAUUAAGUCAGCUGUGAAAUGCCCGCGCUUAACGCGGGAAGUGCAGUUGAUACUGGUUGUCUGGAGUGCCGUUGCCGUGGGGGGAAUGUGUAGUGUAGCGGUGAAAUGCAUAGAUAUAGCCCAGAACACCGAUUGCGAAGGCAUCUCACGAAUCCGAGACUGACGCUGAGGCACGAAAGCGUGGGGAUCAAACAGGAUUAGAUACCCUGGUAGUCCACGCAGUAAACGAUGAUAACUAACCGUCGGCGAUAGAAUGUCGGUGGCCAAGCGAAAGCGAUAAGUUAUCCACCUGGGGAGUACGUUCGCAAGAAUGAAACUCAAAUGAAUUGGCGGGG
This 393-nucleotide ribosomal RNA is filed under the name uncultured bacterium. RNAcentral's name for it is "partial 16S ribosomal RNA". It matches the Rfam family "Bacterial small subunit ribosomal RNA", at positions 523 to 918 of the family's 1533-position model. The record is from RNAcentral.